CCUCUUUGAAGAUGAAAACAAUUCAACAACCUUCUUCUCCAUGCCUUUCAGAAUGAAUUUCUUCUUCUCCCGGAUUUUUCUUUCAAUUCUUGGCUGAAGUUUCAAGCUGUGAUCACUCCAGGGACCUCAGAAAAGCUCAAGACCCAAGGCUAAUUUUAUUAAUAAAGCCAGCCUUGUGGAAUCUCUAAGAAUUAAUCAUUAGACUCUUUUCAAAGUUAUCUAUUAAUGACCUGAAAAAAGACAAAGACAACCUCAUCUGAUGUGUGCAUAGCCCAAGGGAGAGGCAAUGGGAGAUAUUGUAAUGCAAUCUCCCAGACCCCAAAAAAGAUGCCGACAAACUAGAAUGAUGAGCUAGCUACAUUGGAGUGGAUUUUCCUUGUAGAGGAAAUUAAAUCUGAGCAGAAUCCUAAAAGAUACUUUUCCUGUGAAGAAAAUGAAGACAUUUAAGCUGUUGUAGGGAUUGGAAACACCGGGGAGACCUGAUUUCUGUCUUCAAAGUUGAGAAGGCCACAGAUCCCCCAUUUGGCAUCAUAAAGCACGCGCUCAUGGACAAAAGAAACCAGAUUCAACUGCAGAGUUACAGCCUGCAGUGGCAGUGGUAGUGACGGGCAUUGUGGUGAGACUGACGUUUGCUCUCAGUAAGGGACUUUGGACAGCAGGUGUGCCCUGCCAGGUUUCCUUCAUUAGGCAGGGGUUUCCAGAGGAGCUACUCUACCUGAGAAGCAAAAGUGACCAAGACAGAGGAACUUCUUCUCUCCUAAUCGUGCACUUCAGAGGAGGAGAUACAUGAUAGUACCCAGGUAAAUGCAUGCAUAAACAGCCCAUAAUAGUACAGAGAUAAACACAAGCAUAGAUAGUACAGAAUCAUAUAUAGGUAAGCACAUGCAUAUCCAGUAUAUAAUAGGACACA
This 910-nucleotide long non-coding RNA is filed under the name Homo sapiens (human). RNAcentral's name for it is "non-protein coding LINC01550:25". The record is from RNAcentral. Lineage: Eukaryota; Metazoa; Chordata; Mammalia; Primates; Hominidae.